UACGUAGGGUGCAAGCGUUGUCCGGAAUUAUUGGGCGUAAAGAGCUCGUAGGCGGUUUGUCGCGUCUGCUGUGAAAACUCGGGGCUUAACCCCGGGCCUGCAGUGGGUACGGGCAGACUAGAGUGCGGUAGGGGAGACUGGAAUUCCAGGUGUAGCGGUGAAAUGCGUAGAUAUCUGGAGGAAUACCGGUGGCGAAGGCGGCAUCCUGGACCGACAUUGACGCUGAGGAGCGAAAGCUAGGGGAGCAAACGGG
This 253-nucleotide ribosomal RNA is filed under the name uncultured bacterium. RNAcentral's name for it is "partial 16S ribosomal RNA". It matches the Rfam family "Bacterial small subunit ribosomal RNA", at positions 524 to 776 of the family's 1533-position model. The record is from RNAcentral.